CGGACCUCCGAUAAACCA
Molecule: ribosomal RNA, 18 nt
Filed under: Cladosiphon mediterraneus
Lineage: Eukaryota; Phaeophyceae; Ectocarpales; Chordariaceae
Description: partial 28S ribosomal RNA
Source: RNAcentral